AUGUAUAUACAUACAUGUGUAUGUAUGUAUAUACACACAUGUGUAUGUAUGUAUAUACACACGUGUGUGUGUGUAU
Non-coding RNA from Podarcis lilfordi (Lilford's wall lizard), 76 nucleotides. The record is from the annotation of a GenBank genome assembly. NCBI's taxonomy places the organism in Eukaryota, Metazoa, Chordata, Lepidosauria, Squamata, Lacertidae.